RNAcentral lists this ribosomal RNA (330 nucleotides) under uncultured bacterium. RNAcentral's name for it is "bacterial SSU rRNA". It matches the Rfam family "Bacterial small subunit ribosomal RNA", at positions 568 to 898 of the family's 1533-position model. The record is from RNAcentral.
CGCGUAGGUGGUAGUGAAAGUCUAUGGUGGAAUCUUAGGGCUUAACCCUAAAACUGCCUUGGAAACUUCAUUACUUGAGUCAGUGAGGGGAGGGUAGAAUUCCUGGUGUAGCGGUGAAAUGCGUAGAUAUCAGGAGGAAGGCCGGUGGCGAAGGCGGCCCUCUGGCGCUGAACUGACGCUGAGGCGUGAAAGCGUGGGUAGCAAACAGGAUUAGAUACCCUGGUAGUCCACGCCCUAAACGGUGGGUACUAGGUGUAGGGCUCGUAAGGGUUCUGUGCCGAAGGGAAACCAUUAAGUACCCCGCCUGGGGAGUACGGCCGCAAGGUUGAA